This 370-nucleotide ribosomal RNA is filed under the name uncultured organism. RNAcentral describes it as "bacterial SSU rRNA". It matches the Rfam family "Bacterial small subunit ribosomal RNA", at positions 526 to 896 of the family's 1533-position model. The record is from RNAcentral.
CGUAGGGUGCGAGCGUUAAUCGGAAUUACUGGGCGUAAAGCGUGCGCAGGCGGUUUGUUAAGAUAGGCGUGAAAUCCCCGGGCUCAACCUGGGAACUGCGCUUAUGACUGGCAAGCUAGAGUACGGCAGAGGGGGGUGGAAUUCCACGUGUAGCAGUGAAAUGCGUAGAGAUGUGGAGGAACACCGAUGGCGAAGGCAAUCCCCUGGACCUGUACUGACGCUCAUGCACGAAAGCGUGGGGAGCAAACAGGAUUAGAUACCCUGGUAGUCCACGCCCUAAACGAUGUCAACUGGUUGUUGGGUCUUUACUGACUCAGUAAUGAAGCUAACGCGUGAAGUUGACCGCCUGGGGAGUACGGCCGCAAGGUUG